This 129-nucleotide non-coding RNA is filed under the name Pseudoxanthomonas dokdonensis. Its description in RNAcentral is "SAM-I sequence". It matches the Rfam family "SAM riboswitch aptamer (S box leader)". From Rfam's summary of the family: The SAM riboswitch is found upstream of a number of genes which code for proteins involved in methionine or cysteine biosynthesis in Gram-positive bacteria. The SAM riboswitch acts at the level of transcription termination control. Lineage: Bacteria; Pseudomonadati; Pseudomonadota; Gammaproteobacteria; Lysobacterales; Lysobacteraceae. The record is from Rfam by way of RNAcentral.
CCACCAUCGAGACCGGCAGAGGGACAGGCCCUUUGAAGCCGGGGCAGCCAGCGCAGCGCAAGCCGCGUAGUGGUGCCAAAUCCUGCGGAGACCGGGCAUCUGCCCCUUGCGUCUGCCGAAAGAUGGUUC